This 383-nucleotide ribosomal RNA is filed under the name uncultured eukaryote. RNAcentral's name for it is "partial 18S ribosomal RNA". It matches the Rfam family "Eukaryotic small subunit ribosomal RNA", at positions 592 to 976 of the family's 1831-position model. The record is from RNAcentral.
CAAUAGCGUAUAUUAAAGUUGUUGCAGUUAAAAAGCUCGUAGUUGGAUUUCUGGUGGGAGCGAUCGGUCUGGCGCUUAGCGCGAGUACUUGCAUCGUCUCCGGCCAUCCUUGGGGAGAGUCUGUCUGGCAUUAGGUUGUCGGGCAGAGGAUCCUCAUCGUUUACUGUGAAAAAAUUAGAGUGUUCAAAGCAGGCUUAUGCCGUUGAAUAUAUUAGCAUGGAAUAAUAAGAUAGGACUUUGGUACUAUUUUGUUGGUUUGCGCACCAAAGUAAUGAUUAAUAGGGACAGUUGGGGGUAUUCGUAUUCCGUUGUCAGAGGUGAAAUUCUUGGAUUUCUGAAAGACGAACUACUGCGAAAGCAUUUACCAAGGAUGUUUUCAUUAA